Molecule: long non-coding RNA, 762 nt
Organism: Herpailurus yagouaroundi (jaguarundi)
Lineage: Eukaryota; Metazoa; Chordata; Mammalia; Carnivora; Felidae
Exons: 2
Source: RefSeq, a predicted model, not a curated record
CCUGCUGUUUCUCCUGGAUGCUUUCUGCCUUUGCCUUUUACAGAAGUGAGAGGAACCAUUAUUACAAUUCUCUUCGAAAACUAUUGCAUUAAAAGAAAGACCUGUAGCAAACAUGGUAAAAUCCGGAUGCAAUUGGGGGACUGGAUGCAUGGUAUGACUCCAUACACUCCUGUGAUGCGAUGUGGUCAACCUCAGUCAACGCAGAACUUCACAUGAUAAUGACAGUCAUAAUUACAUUAAGAGCACAUUACCGUGAUAAUUACAUAAUGCCUGUCAUCGCCGACUUAAACGUUUUGCAAAAAUCACUUUACAAAACAUUUAGAUGUCAGCACAUUGAGAUGAAAGAGCUCAAUGUCAUCAUGUAUCGUCUCAAGAGUAGAUAAGCUGAAAAAUCCGCCAAAGAACCUUCAUUAAAAUACAUUGUAAUUUCUGUACGGAUCAUGAGACUGGUCAUCUGCGAUACGGAAGCGGUUUCCUUUUCCAUUCAAUCUACAAAAUGGCUUGCCCACCUUUUUUUCAUGGUAAUUUUUAACAAAAGAGCCAUGACAAUAGGGAGACAGAAGAUACUUCGGGCAAUAAAGUUAGUUUUGUGUGUGAACCAUAUGAACUAUAUGUGAGCUAUGUGAACCAGAAAAAGUGUAACUCUGAUGUGAAUAUGCUAAAUGUACGAUGUAUUCUGGUGAGGGAAGGAUACCCUUUGUCUUUAACUACUUACUCAUUUAAGUACUUAAUGUUUUCAAAAAUUAAAACGUCAACAAAUUA